Molecule: long non-coding RNA, 459 nt
Organism: Protopterus annectens (West African lungfish)
Lineage: Eukaryota; Metazoa; Chordata; Ceratodontiformes; Protopteridae
Exons: 2
Source: RefSeq, a predicted model, not a curated record
UACACUUCACUACACUAAGAUGGGUUAUGUUGUAGUUUAGUACAUUAUGACUAAGGUUAUUACACUUCACCACACUAAGAUGGGUUAUGUUGUAGUUUAGUACAUUAAAAGGAAACAUGACUAAGGUUAUCACACUUCACUACACUAAGAUGGGUUAUGUUGUAGUUUAGUACAUUAAAAGGGAACAUGACUAAGGUUAUUACACUUCACUACACUAAGAUGGGUUAUGUUGUAGUUUAGUACAUUAAAAGGAACAUGACUAAGGUUAUUACACUUCACUACACUAAGAUGGGUUAUGUUGUAGUUUAGUACAUUAAAAGGGAACAUGACUAAGGUUAUUACACUUCACUACACUAAGAUGGGUUAUGUUGUAGUUUAGUACAUUAAAAGGGAACAUGACUAAGGUUAUUACACUUCACUACACUAAGAUGGGUUAUGUUGUAGUUUAGUACAUUAAAA